GAGUUUGAUUCUGGCUCAGGAUUAACGCUGGCGGCAUGCCUAACACAUGCAAGUCGAACGGAGAUAGCAAUAUCUUAGUGGCGAACGGGUGAGUAACGCGUGAGUAAUCUGCCCUGCAUUACGGGAUAACACAAAGAAAUUUGUGCUAAUACGGUAUGAAACAUAGCAUCGCAUGAUGCAAUGUUAAAAGAUUUAUCGAUGCAGGAUGAGCUCGCGUCCCAUUAGCUAGUUGGUGAGAUAACAGCCCACCAAGGCAACGAUGGGUAGCCGGUCUGAGAGGAUGAACGGCCACAUUGGGACUGAGACACGGCCCAGACUCCUACGGGAGGCAGCAGUGGGGAAUAUUGGGCAAUGGAGGAAACUCUGACCCAGCAAUGCCGCGUGAAUGAUGAAGGUCUUUUGAUUGUAAAGUUCUUUAGUUUCGAAGGAAUAAAUGACCUAGAAAAGAAUAAGCCCCGGCUAAAUACGUGCCAGCAGCCGCGGUAAUACGUAUGGGGCAAGCGUUAUCCGGAAUGACUGGGUGUAAAGGGUGUGUAGGCGGUUUAGUAAGUUGGGAGUGAAAUACCUAGGGCUUAACCCAGGUGCUGCUUUCAAAACUGCUAGACUUGAGUGUAGGAGAGGAAAGUGGAAUUCCUAGUGUAGCGGUGGAAUGCGUAGAUAUUAGGAGGAACAUCAGUGGCGAAGGCGACUUUCUGGACUAUAACUGACGCUGAGGCACGAAAGUGUGGGGAGCAAACAGGAUUAGAUACCCUGGUAGUCCACACUGUAAACGAUGGAUACUAGAUGUAGGGAGCAUCAACUCUCUCUGCGUCGUAGCUAACGCAAUAAGUAUCCCACCUGGGGAGUACGGCCGCAAGGUUGAAACUCAAAGAAAUUGGCGGGGACCCGCACAAGCAGCGGAGCAUGUGGUUUAAUUCGAAGCAACGCGAAGAACCUUACCAAGAUUUGACAUCGUAUGCAAUCUGUAGAAACACAGAGUUCCUUCGGGACGUAUAGACAGGUGGUGCAUGGUUGUCGUCAGCUCGUGUCGUGAGAUGUUGGGUUAAGUCCCGCAACGAGCGCAACCCUUAUGAUUAGUUGCCAAUAUUAAGUUAGGAACUCUAGUCAGACUGCCGCGGUUAACGCGGAGGAAGGUGGGGAUGACGUCAAAUCAUCAUGCCCCUUACAUCUUGGGCUACACACGUGCUACAAUGGCUAUUACAAAGAGCUGCGAGCUGGUAACAGUAAGCGAAUCUCAAAAAGAUAGUCUCAGUUCGGAUUGUGGGCUGCAACCCGCCCACAUGAAGUCGGAGUUGCUAGUAAUCCCGAAUCAGAAUGUCGGGGUGAAUGCGUUCCCGGGUCUUGCACACACCGCCCGUCACGCCAUGGGAGUGGGGAGUACCCAAAGUCGAUGAGCUAACCCGCAAGGGAGGCAGUCGCCUAAGGUAAGACUCAUGACUGGGGUGAAGUCGUAACAAGGUA
RNAcentral lists this ribosomal RNA (1461 nucleotides) under Clostridiales bacterium canine oral taxon 260. Its description in RNAcentral is "bacterial SSU rRNA". It matches the Rfam family "Bacterial small subunit ribosomal RNA". The record is from RNAcentral. Lineage: Bacteria; Bacillati; Bacillota; Clostridia; Eubacteriales.